CACAGAUGAAGGAGGACUUCCAGAGCUGCUUCAGAAAGUGGCAACAAUGAAGGGGAAAGUGUCCUUGAGUCUGGAGGCCAGCCUCGGGACUGCAGUCUGUGCUAUGCCCUCACUGUCAGACAGUAAGUCCAGCUCACAGAGAAUGCUAUCCAGUGGGAUCCACCCAGCUCUUCUUCAUGUAGCAGGACCCUGCAUGACAGACUCUUACCCGUCCAAUCCCUUCCCCUGCUUGAAUCCCACCAUGUGUCAUGACAUGGGCCAUUUGGGCUCAGUAGAUAAAGAUUCAUU
This 288-nucleotide long non-coding RNA is filed under the name Chinchilla lanigera (long-tailed chinchilla). RNAcentral's name for it is "lncRNA (ENSCLAG00000022475.1)". Lineage: Eukaryota; Metazoa; Chordata; Mammalia; Rodentia; Chinchillidae. The record is from RNAcentral.